RNAcentral lists this ribosomal RNA (323 nucleotides) under uncultured eukaryote. Its description in RNAcentral is "partial 18S ribosomal RNA". It matches the Rfam family "Eukaryotic small subunit ribosomal RNA", at positions 1470 to 1796 of the family's 1831-position model. The record is from RNAcentral.
CCCUUAGAUGUUCUGGGCUGCACGCGUGCUACACUGAUAUUGCCAAUAUGUCAUUCUUAUCCGAAAUGGAUUGGGUAAUCAAGUAAUGAAAUUUCAUGCUUGGAAUCGGUAAUUGCAAUUUUAUCGUGAACGAGGAAUUCCUAGUAAGCACUAGUCAUCAGCUAAUGUUGAUUAUGUCCCUGCCCUUUAUACACACCGCCCGUCGCUACUACUGAUUGGGUGUUCAAGUGAGAUGCUUAGACCCUUGUUGCAUGGUUCAUUAUUGUGCUCCGAAAGGAAAAAGUUUCAAGCUUGAGUGUCUAGAGGAAGUAAAAGUCGUAACA